ACGCUGGCGGCACGCCUAACACAUGCAAGUCGAACGAAGUAGCAAUACUUAGUGGCAGACGGGUGAGUAACAUGUAGGUAUCUGCCCUUUGGCCUGGAAUAACACGAGGAAACUUGUGCUAAUACCGGAUAAGUCUUUACAGAGAAAGCUUUAUGCACCAUUGGAUGAGCCUGCACUUGAUUAGUUUGUUGGUGGGGUAAUGGCCUACCAAGACUGUGAUCAAUAGCUGAUUUGAGAGGAUGAUCAGCCACAUUGGGACUGAGACACGGCCCAAACUCCUACGGGAGGCAGCAGUGGGGAAUCUUGCACAAUGGAGGAAACUCUGAUGCAGCGAUGCCGCGUGAGUGAAGAAGGCCCUUGGGUUGUAAAGCUCUUUCGUCGGGGAAGAAAAUGACUGUACCCGAAUAAGAAGGUCCGGCUAACUUCGUGCCAGCAGCCGCGGUAAUACGAAGGGACCUAGCGUAGUUCGGAAUUACUGGGCUUAAAGAGUUCGUAGGUGGUUGAAAAAGUUAGUGGUGAAAUCCCAGAGCUUAACUCUGGAACUGCCAUUAAAACUUUUCAGCUAGAGUAUGAUAGAGGAAAGCAGAAUUUCUAGUGUAGAGGUGAAAUUCGUAGAUAUUAGAAAGAAUACCAAUUGCGAAGGCAGCUUUCUGGAUCAUUACUGACACUGAGGAACGAAAGCAUGGGUAGCGAAGAGGAUUAGAUACCCUCGUAGUCCAUGCCGUAAACGAUGUGUGUUAGACGUUGGAAAUUUAUUUUCAGUGUCGCAGCGAAAGCGAUAAACACACCGCCUGGGGAGUACGACCGCAAGGUUAAAACUCAAAUGAAUUGACGGGGACCCGCACAAGUAGUGGAGCAUGUGGUUUAAUUCGAAGAUACGCGCAGAACCUUACCAACACUUGACAUGUUCGUCGCGACUCUAAGAGAUUAGAGUUUUCGGCUCGGCCGGACGAAACACAGGUGCUGCAUGGCUGUCGUCAGCUCGUGUCGUGAGAUGUUGGGUUAAGUCCCGCAACGAGCGCAACCCUCACUUUUAGUUGCCAUCAUUAAGUUGGGCACUCUGAAAGAACUGCCAGUGAUAAGCUGGAGGAAGGUGGGGAUGACGUCAAGUCCUCAUGGCCCUUACGUGUUGGGCUACACACGUGCUACAAUGGUAUCUACAACAGGAAGCAAGACUGCGAAGUUAAGCAAAUCCCUAAAAGAUACCUCAGUUCGGAUUGCACUCUGCAACUCGAGUGCAUGAAGCUGGAAUUACUAGUAAUCGUGGAUCAGCGUGCCACGGUGAAUGCGUUCCCGGGUCUUGUACACACCGC
RNAcentral lists this ribosomal RNA (1313 nucleotides) under uncultured Alphaproteobacteria bacterium. RNAcentral's name for it is "uncultured alpha proteobacterium 16S ribosomal RNA". It matches the Rfam family "Bacterial small subunit ribosomal RNA", at positions 33 to 1393 of the family's 1533-position model. The record is from RNAcentral. Lineage: Bacteria; Pseudomonadati; Pseudomonadota; Alphaproteobacteria.